RNAcentral lists this long non-coding RNA (744 nucleotides) under Capra hircus (goat). RNAcentral describes it as "lncRNA (ENSCHIG00000005640.1)". The record is from RNAcentral. Lineage: Eukaryota; Metazoa; Chordata; Mammalia; Artiodactyla; Bovidae.
GGAAAACUGGUAUAGAAUCCAGGGAGGGGGCAGUUAUCAUGGUAGUAGGUGUGAGAUCAUUGUGAAAUAUCAGAAGGUACACUCUGAAGUAGUAAGAAAUAGAUGGGGUCAGUACCAAAGCUGGUAAAGACAGAACACAAAUGGCCUGCAAAUCCAACAUGCUGAAAGGAGAUGGGUAACUAGGAUAUAAAACCAAAAAUGGAGUAGAGACACCAAGGGAGGCAACAAUAACACAGAAGAUCCUGCGGUUUUAGAAACUGUCAACAACAUCCUGUGAAAUUGAGUGGAUAGAUGAAAUGGGGCAAAAGGGAGAAAAUGCUUCUGCAAUAUUGCAGAUGGCAUUAAUGGUAAAGAAUUCAUCGGCCAGUGCAAGAGACAUAACAAGCGUGAGUUUGAUCCCUGUAUAGGGAAGGAGGAGGGAUUCAGGGAUCCCUGGAGGAGGACACGGCAACCCACUCCAGUAUUCUUGCCUGGAGAAUCGCAUGGAUAGACGAACCUGGAGGGCUACAGUCCAUAGGGUCGCAAAGAACUGGACAUGACUGAAACAACUUAGCACUCAUGUACUCAUAUUGUAAUAUAAUCUAUAAUACAUAAUAUUUUAUGAUGUAGCAGUUGAAGAUUGUGCUUAUGGAAUUUUUAUAGGUACUAGAGAAAUCAGUGUACCCAUCCUGUUUCCACUUCCUCUCCUUAGUUAUUAUCUUCUAUCAAUGGUUAAAAUUAUUUCAUUAUAAUAGGUUCAGCUCC